RNAcentral lists this ribosomal RNA (325 nucleotides) under Streptococcus sp. oral taxon D84. RNAcentral's name for it is "bacterial SSU rRNA". It matches the Rfam family "Bacterial small subunit ribosomal RNA", at positions 113 to 432 of the family's 1533-position model. The record is from RNAcentral. Lineage: Bacteria; Bacillati; Bacillota; Bacilli; Lactobacillales; Streptococcaceae.
ACGCGUAGGUAACCUGCCUAUUAGCGGGGGAUAACUAUUUGAAACGAUAGCUAAUACCGCAUAAUAUUAAUUAUUGCAUGAUAAUUGAUUGAAAGAUGCAAGCGCAUCACUAGUAGAUGGACCUGCGUUGUAUUAGCUAGUUGGUAAGGUAAGAGCUUACCAAGGCGACGAUACAUAGCCGACCUGAGAGGGUGAUCGGCCACACUGGGACUGAGACACGGCCCAGACUCCUACGGGAGGCAGCAGUAGGGAAUCUUCGGCAAUGGACGAAAGUCUGACCGAGCAACAACCGCGUGAGUGAAGAAGGUUUUCGGAUCGUAAAGCU